This 253-nucleotide ribosomal RNA is filed under the name uncultured bacterium. RNAcentral's name for it is "partial 16S ribosomal RNA". It matches the Rfam family "Bacterial small subunit ribosomal RNA", at positions 524 to 776 of the family's 1533-position model. The record is from RNAcentral.
UACAGAGGGGGCGAGCGUUGUUCGGAAUUACUGGGCGUAAAGGGCGCGUAGGCGGCCGACUAAGUCAGACGUGAAAUCCCCAGGCUCAACCUGGGAACUGCGUCUGAUACUGGAUGGCUUGAGUUCGGGAGAGGGAAGUGGAAUUCCAGGUGUAGCGGUGAAAUGCGUAGAUAUCUGGAGGAACACCGGUGGCGAAGGCGGCUUCCUGGACCGACACUGACGCUGAGGCGCGAAAGCCAGGGGAGCAAACGGG